Molecule: ribosomal RNA, 253 nt
Filed under: uncultured bacterium
Lineage: Bacteria
Description: partial 16S ribosomal RNA
Rfam family: Bacterial small subunit ribosomal RNA
Source: RNAcentral
UACGUAGGGUGCGAGCGUUAAUCGGAAUUACUGGGCGUAAAGCGUGCGCAGGCGGUUCGUUGUGUCGGUGGUGAAAUCCCCGGGCUUAACCUGGGAAUUGCGUUGGAGACUGCAAGGCUUGAAUCUGGCAGAGGGGGGUAGAAUUCCACGUGUAGCAGUGAAAUGCGUAGAGAUGUGGAGGAACACCGAUGGCGAAGGCAGCCCCCUGGGUCAAGAUUGACGCUCAUGCACGAAAGCGUGGGGAGCAAACAGG